GAUGAACGCUGGCGGCGUGCCUAAUACAUGCAAGUCGAGCGAACGGACGAGAAGCUUGCUUCUCUGAUGUUAGCGGCGGACGGGUGAGUAACACGUGGAUAACCUACCUAUAAGACUGGGAUAACUUCGGGAAACCGUAGCUAAUACCGGAUAAUAUUUUGAACCGCAUGGUUCAAAAGUGAAAGACGGUCUUGCUGUCACUUAUAGAUGGAUCCGCGCUGCAUUAGCUAGUUGGUAAGGUAACGGCUUACCAAGGCAACGAUGCAUAGCCGACCUGAGAGGGUGAUCGGCCACACUGGAACUGAGACACGGUCCAGACUCCUACGGGAGGCAGCAGUAGGGAAUCUUCCGCAAUGGGCGAAAGCCUGACGGAGCAACGCCGCGUGAGUGAUGAAGGUCUUCGGAUCGUAAAACUCUGUUAAUAGGGAAGAACAUAUGUGUAAGUAACUGUGCACAUCUUGACGGUACCUAAUCAGAAAGCCACGGCUAACUACGUG
Molecule: ribosomal RNA, 497 nt
Filed under: uncultured bacterium
Lineage: Bacteria
Description: partial 16S ribosomal RNA
Rfam family: Bacterial small subunit ribosomal RNA
Source: RNAcentral